Molecule: ribosomal RNA, 464 nt
Filed under: uncultured bacterium
Lineage: Bacteria
Description: partial 16S ribosomal RNA
Rfam family: Bacterial small subunit ribosomal RNA
Source: RNAcentral
CUACGGGCCGCUGCAGUGGGGAAUAUUGCACAAUGGGCGCAAGCCUGAUGCAGCCAUGCCGCGUGUAUGAAGAAGGCCUUCGGGUUGUAAAGUACUUUCAGCGGGGAGGAAGGGAGUAAAGUUAAUACCUUUGCUCAUUGACGUUACCCGCAGAAGAAGCACCGGCUAACUCCGUGCCAGCAGCCGCGGUAAUACGGAGGGUGCAAGCGUUAAUCGGAAUUACUGGGCGCAAAGCGCACGCAGGCGGUUUGUUAAGUCAGAUGUGAAAUCCCCGGGCCCAACCUGGGAACUGCAUCUGAUACUGGCAAGCUUGAGUCUCGUAGAGGGGGGUAGAAUUCCAGGUGUAGCGGUGAAAUGCGUAGAGAUCUGGAGGAAUACCGGUGGCGAAGGCGGCCCCCUGGACGAAGACUGACGCUCAGGUGCGAAAGCGUGGGGAGCAAACAGGAUUAGAUACCCUUGUAGUC